GGAAAGGUUGAUAACAGGAACUGCAUAACAAACUGGCAAGUAUAUUUGUUGUAUGCUAUUUUGCAACUUUCAUUUGGGCUCUACUUGCUUUUUGGUAGAUAAAGUGUUUAACAGUUGUUUAAUGUGAAAGUUUCUACGUCAAAUGGGAUUGUGAGGCUGAAAUUGCAUGCAAUGAUUCACAAGCGUACUUAUCAUAAUUCAGCUGCGCUCUCCAUACCUCCAUCCUCUCCCUAUGGGAAAACUGCUCCCGUUUAUGAGAGCUGCUAAAACAAAUUCAUUUUGGUCUCUUAUCUUACUUCGCCCACUACUCUUCAUAACAUCUUAGGCCUUCAAAUCUCAACACCAAGCUUAUGAGUUGGGCUUGGGUUUCUGAUAUAGUAUUAAAGCCAAGUUUCUUUCUUUUGGGUUGUUUCUCAUAGGCGUCCAUGGAGGUGGGCUGUUAAUAAGCCUCUUAUCUCAUUCGCCUAUUUAUAGACCUUGGGAUCUCGUCAUAACCUCUUAGGCUUUCUAACUUUCACUGAGUUUUGAGGUUAGGAUUGGGUUUCUAAUAAGAGGGAACCCCUAUGAAAAUAUAUAACCUAACGAAUAUGGGAUUUAGAUUUUGGUGCUUGGCUCUUUUUACACAAAAAUGUGGGACUUUUAUGGCUUUACAAGUCCCACAUUGAAGACAAACAAGCUGGGAACCCCUACCCUCUAGUCCUGUGCCAUUUAUUAGUGUUGUGGUCUACUUUGUUUAAGGCUUACUUAUGAGACAAUUUGUAAUGAGUUCCUUGAAAAUUUAUGUGAUUAUUAAAUUUAGUUUAAUUCAAUUCCAGCUCAAGCUUGAUACAUUUUAUGUCAGACAUUGCUGAGCUUGAAGGGUGAAGCUCAAUUCAAGCUGAAUCCUAGUGAAAAAAUGUUGAGCCAAGCCUUACUACAUCAAAGCUUGGCUUGGCUAAACUUUGUUUGCAGUCUGAUGCUCUGAUGGGAAUCUGAUCUCAAUGUAGAAUAAGUAGCAGAAUGUUAGAAUUUAAUGAGUAUAACUUCUAGAAAUUGUCAAAUAAAGGGUUGAUGUCAAUCUUGAGUGCAUGGCAGAAUAUUAGGAUAUAAUCCCUUUUACUGCUAGAAAAUGUUGAAUAAAAGAAAUCUCAAGUACGAAGUGGAAUGGUAGAAUAUACUUCAUAUUACUGCUAGAAAUUGAGAAGCUAAUAUGGACUUUAAGGCCCAUCACCUGAAGAAUGUAGGCGUGAAUCCUCUUCCUGUCCAUUUGCUUGAGAUCCUGGGUAAACCAGUUAGAGGUUGUGGACUAUUGAGAUUGGUGAGGUCCAUAUGCUGAGCUUCCAUCUAAUUUUUUGUUUGCCUUUGGCUCCAAAGUGGAGUUAUUUUAUGCGGACGUGACAAGGUUGCUGCCUCCUAUUUUUUGUUUUCAUGUCUCUUAACAUUUGUACAAUGACUGGAUUCUAAAUUGGAAGAACAUAAGUACAUCUUGGACUUCUUAGGAAAAGCAGGCUCAUGUUUCUUUCCUGCAUAUUUGAAUUAUUGACCUUGAGUGAUUAUAUGGCCGCUUGCUCAAUGACAAAGUACUCACUUCCAAGAUUUUAAAUUCUUGUAUAUAAAUUUCUAAAAUGCCCCCUAAUUGAUUGGGGUUAAGGCUGAGUUGACUGAGUUUUAAGACUUCUCAAGUGUCCGAGCAAGCAGCGAGGUAACUCAGAUUAGCUGGAUAUUUUAUCAUUUGCUUACUCUUUCAGAAACUACAAAACGAUCACUACCCCAAUGCACUGCACUGCAUUAAAAUAAGUACACUGAUACACAGCUGUUUUUGUAGCCUCAGAUCCCAUUAAUGCUCACAAGAUGACAAGAGCGUUGAGAUAUUGUCUUUUCAUUUGAAUAUCCAUGAUACUUCUAAAGAAACCAAAUACCUCAAAUUAUAGAAGCGUAAUAACACAUAGAGCCGGCUAAAAUGCUGUAAUGGGGAGUAAACUCUUCCUCAUAUCGUGACUGAAGCAAGGAUGACAGGAAUUUCUUUAUUGGCUUAUUAUCUGUUCCAUGUUCAUUUUCUAAUGCUUAAAUGCCUUUUAUUCUUGUGGCUUUAUAUGAUAUCUUACCUUGAGAAGCACCAAAUCUUAGAGCUUUUGUUUUCUCUGAGAUAAUUGCAGAUCCUUGUAAUGAGGUCAUUACA
This 2158-nucleotide unclassified non-coding RNA is filed under the name Hevea brasiliensis (rubber tree). The record is from RNAcentral. Lineage: Eukaryota; Viridiplantae; Streptophyta; Magnoliopsida; Malpighiales; Euphorbiaceae.